Molecule: long non-coding RNA, 5014 nt
Organism: Homo sapiens (human)
Lineage: Eukaryota; Metazoa; Chordata; Mammalia; Primates; Hominidae
Gene: C22orf46P
Product: chromosome 22 open reading frame 46, pseudogene
Source: Ensembl
GUGGGCCCCGCCCUCUACGGGGGCACUGGCGCGGAAACUGGCCCUGUGUCGAAGAAGGAACGUACUUUGGCGUUCUUAUGAGCUGCCUAGUACAAAUUAUUGGCAGAAACAAUGAAUUAAACAUUCAAAAAGUAACCCACCGGCCGGCCGCAGCGGCUUAUGGCUGUAAUCCCGGCACUUUGGGAGGCCGAGGCGGGCGCAUCACCUGAGGACAGGAGUUCGAGACCAGCCUGGCCAACAUGGCGAAACCUCGUCCCUACUAAAAAAUACAAAAAUUAGCCAGGCGUGGUGGCGGGCGCCUGUAACCCCAGCUACUUAGGAGGCUGAAGCAGGAGAAUCGCUUGAACCCCGGAGGUGGAGGCUACAGUCCGGCACUGUUGGCACCAGGUCACCAGGACCCGCUUCAGCACAAGGAAUGUCAUCAAGGUGCCACUGCAGAAGCGGGCAGUGCCCUCCAUGAGGUGCGAAACUGUCUUCAAGCUGACUCCUGAAUUCUUCAGUCCUGGAAAGUCCAGGGGCCUAGAUUCUCAACAAUGCGCACAAAGGCAGAGAUGGGGAUACCGGAGGAGCCUCCAGGAAUCAUGGGCCCAGAACCUGCUCUCUCCACAGCACCCAUGUCCAGGCCCACCUUCGGGUGUCCACACCCACUCUGAGCCCAUCUUUUGUACCACCUCCAUUUCAAACACCUGUUUACUGCCUCAGAACAGUUCCUGGAAAGCAUGGCAGGUGCCUUGGUGUCUCCAUGAUGGUCAGACUCGCCCUGCCUUGGACAUGUGUCAAGAGAUGGAGCAGCUGCUGCUUCACUCACAGGAAAGCUGAGAGGCUGCAGUUCUGCCCCCAGAGAGCUCCUGCCUGAUCCUUCCCACCAAACACUGAGAAUGUGCACUUGGAAGUCUUGGCACUGUCGACCAGAGGCCUGGGAACCAGGGGGUAAAAACCAGAAAGCAGGCAGAGAGGAUAGUAGAGAGACCCAGGCUCCAAGGUGGGUGAACCAGACAGGGAGCAGACGGGAGGAUGCUUCAGAAAUCCAGGCAUCUGGGGAGUAGUUCCCAGUAGACUUUGGAAUGGAGGGUGAUGCAGAGACUAACGUGUUGGAGUGUGCAAACCAGAGACUAGUAAUAAGUGAAACUGAUGGCGAGAUCUUGACACCAGGGUGGGACACCCAGGACCGGAUGGGAGUUGAGAGUAGAACCAACAUUCAGGAACUAGGGAAUAGAAACCAGAGGGAGGCUGGAGGUGAGAAUCUCCCUGAAACCCAGGCACAUAUGGGAGAGAACCAAGAACAGUUAAGAUGUAAAAUUGAUGCAGAGACCCAAACACCUGAGUGGGAGAACCAGGAUAAGAAUGGAAGUGAGGAUGCUGUGGAGACCCAGACAUUUGAGAAGAAGGACAAGAAAGAGGCUGGAGAGGAGGAUGGGGAAGAGAUCCAGGCUCAAGGAUUGGGGAAGCAAGGCCAGACUGGAGAUGAGAAUGGUGAGGAGACCCAGACACCACAGUGGGAGAAACAAGAUCAGAUGAAAGGUGAUGCGGAUGUGGAAAUUCAGAUGGAAGAGGGGAGAAACAAGGAUCAGGUUGGAGGUCAGGAUGCUGCACAAACCCAAUCAUGUGGGAGGGAGAACGUGGGAGAAGUAAAAAAAGAGAAUAGUGUAGAGACCCAGGCCUUGGAUUGGGGAAAACAGGAAUGUGUUGGAAAUGGGAAUGUUACAGAGAUCCAGACACCAAGGUGGGAGAAGCAUGAUCAAGGUGGAAGUAAGAAAGCUAAGAAGACCCAAGCAUCUGGGGGAGAGAACCAGAAACAAUUAAGUCAUGAAAUUCAAGUGGGGUGGGGAAAUAAGGGCCUGAGAAGAGAUGAAGAUGCUAAGGAAACCCAGAUAGCUACCAAGAAGAAGCUCAGGGAGAUAAGAGAAGGAUUGGGUGGUGAUCCAGGCACUAUGGUGGGGAAACCGGAGACAAGUAGCAAGUGAAAUUUAUAGAGAAUUUGAGAUACUAUGUUGGGAGAAUCAGAACUGGAUUGGAGGUGAACAUAGAGCAGAAAUUCAGGCAUCAGAGAAGAGAGACCAAAGAAAGGAUGGAUGUGAGGAUGGCACAAAUAUCCUGGCACCCGAGGCUGAGAUCCAGGAACAAUUAAAAGGUGAAACUGAUGUGGAGACUCAGAGCAAUGAGCCACUUAGAGAAGAGGAUGGUACAGACAUUCAGUCACUAGGGAGGAGAGAGGUUAAAGGUGAGGAUGAUAAAGACACCCAGGAACUUGGGAGGAAAAAUCAGGGUCAGUUAGGAAAUGAAUUUAGUGGAAAGAUUCACAUACCAAAGGGGAAGAAUCAGGAACAUAUUAGAGGCGAAGAUGGUGCACAUACCCAGAUAUCUGAGUCAGGGAACUGGGGCAAAUUAACAAGUCAAAUUGAUGGAGAAAUGCAUUCAGCAGAAUGGAAGAAAGAUCAGCAGAUUGGAGGUGAGAAUGGGGCAGAAAUUCAGAUACAAGGGAAGAGAAACCUGAGAGAAGUUGGAGGUGAGGACGGUGUAAAGACCUGGGCACCUGGGAAAGAAACCCAGAGUCAGUUUAGAAGUGAUCUUGGUAGAAAGAUCCUUUUAUCAGAGUGGAAGAGCCAGAAGCAGAUGGGAAGUGAGAAUGGAACAGAAAUUCAGGCUCCAGUGGAGAGAAACCAGAGAGAACCUGGAGGUGAGGACGGUGUAAAGACUCAGAGACCUAAGAGAGAGAACGAGGACCAGUUAGAUAGUGAAAUUGGAGGGAGCCAUUCACCAGGGAGGAGGAACUGGGAGCUGAUUGGAAAGGAUGUUGCAGAAAAUCAGGCAUCAGAGAAGAGAAACCAGAGAGAGGUUGGAAACGAGGACGGUAGAAUGAUCUGGAGGCUUAGGGGAAAAAACUGGAGGCUUAGAGCGAAGAAACAGACUGUUAAAAAGUAAAGAUAAUGGAAAGACCCGUUUAUCAGAGUGGAAGAACCAGGAACAGGGUGGAGGUGGGAAUGAUGAAGAAAUUCAAAUACAGGGGAAGAGAAACCUGAGAGGGACCACAGCUGAUGAUGGUACAGAGACCCAGGCUCCUGCAGGAGAUGACCAGGGACAGUUAAGAGUUGAAAUUGCUGAAGAGAUCCAGGUACAAGGGCAAGGAAAUAAGAAUGACGGUGGAGUUGAGGAUGUUGCAGAACUCCAGGAUAUAGGAAGCCAGAGAAAGUGCACAGAUGAGGAUGUUGGAGAGCCUCGAGCACCAAGGGGAGGAAACAAGGAUCUGGUCAGAGGAGAGGAUGCUGUGAGGGACAGUCUCCAAGUCGACUGUUCUGGGAGUGAGAGGCCCACAGGCAGGAAGCACAGCCUACCAUGGCCUCCAGCCUUCACUGGCUAUGGAUGUGGGACCCGGGAACAGGAACAGGCAGUGGCUGUGAAUGGUUUCAUCUCUGCCCCCUGUCCUGAGAUGAAUCCUGUCCCCCACUGGGGUGAAGUCUUCCUGCUGGUGGGUGGGGAGGGAGAGCAUCUGGCCAGCCAGGGCACAACCCCUGCCAGGGAUCAUAGAGUGGGGAUCAGUCCAGCCUCCCAGCAGGCCCAACCUGAAUCCUGGAGAAGACGACAAAGGGACAAAGGGGUGGAUCCAGAGAAGGCCCCCAGCCUGACUCGGCAGUCCCAAAACCCUCCGUCUCUGACAGCUCCCUUGGGCAUGCCCUCUGCCUGCUCCUGUCUCCCGUGUGGCCCAGCCCCGGAAGCUGCCAUCAUUCUAGCGGGUCCUCCCACCGCCCUCACUGUCCUGCCCAAGGGGACAGGCCUCAAGAAGAGCAAACGACUGCUCCUGGAGUCCCUCAUGCGGAGGAGGAUUGCACACCUGAAGUGGGGUCUUCCCCGGCGGAUCCUGGAGUCCUAUUUCCUGUUUAACUUCUUAGGAUCUUGCUCAUUGACCCUUGCUGGGGCGAGGCUCUCUGGACUGAACACAGGCCAGGAGCUCCAAGCCCAGCAGGAAAGGUAUUGUGAGGCCCAAGGCUCCCCACCAGGCCUUAAGUCCCCAGAGAGGUUCCAGAGGGUUCAGCGCCCAGACAGAAAAAGCUCGAAACUUCCUAUACAAGCCAGAGCUCUGGAGAGGAACAGACCGCACAUGUCAGAGCCCAUUAAGCAUUUCCAUCCAGCCUGAAAAGGCCAGGAGAGUCAGGCCACCAGGGGGCGCCAGAGAACCACAGGAGAUCCAGGAAGCGCUUGCUAGGACCAAGCUCCCAGCUCCCAGGACCCCCAGGCCGGCAGCGGAGUCCAGGAGCUGGUGUGGCCCACAAAGGGUCGGAGAGCCUCCCAGUGAGAACAGUAGGGGCAGGAAAAUGAUCAGGUCAAGGGUCUCCCAGCUGGCAGAGAGGGCUCCCAGCAGAGUGAGGACUUCAUUCUCUAGGGCAGACCACGCCCACUGGAGGAAGGAAUGUACAUCCUGGGAGGCCUCUAAGCUCCCCAGACUCAAAUGCCAGCAGCUCACAUACUGGAGAAGAGGAAGCCUGGAAUCUACAGGGUGCAGAGGGGCUGGGCAGCAGCCUUCCUGCCAUUCUGCAGAACCUGUCAGCUUCAAAGGGAGGCUCCACUCUGCGGUGGCAAAGCUGGGCCUGACCCUUCUGGCCAAGAUGUCCUGGUCCCCACAGCUCGCCAAGCGCAAGCACUUGGCCCCUAACCUGAGCCUGAGGGAACCUGAUUCUACUCUGCCUCCCAAAGUGGGUGAUCCUCGUGCAGGGGAGGACAGCAUCGGAGAUCACACUGCUUCACAGAGGGAUCUUCAGCUGCAAGGUCACUGCUGUACUGGGGCCACCCUUCCUAAGACAGAGAGUCCCCAGGGCCAGGAGGCACCUGGGAACCCAAAUGGGGCUCCACAGAAUACACGAGCCUCCAAAAAGUUUAGUAUUAUGAAGCAUCUGAAUUUUUUUCUCUUCCAGAAUGGCUUUAAAAAGUAGACUCAGGCCCAGAGUCCUCAGGACAUAUCAGAAAAGCUUUGAGAGUGUCCUGAUCCCUGCAAAGCCUCUAAUAAAUUGGUCAUUUGGGC